Molecule: small RNA, 1518 nt
Filed under: Arabidopsis thaliana (thale cress)
Lineage: Eukaryota; Viridiplantae; Streptophyta; Magnoliopsida; Brassicales; Brassicaceae
Description: ATSL229410
Source: RNAcentral
GUAAUUAACAACAAAAAAAGCAUACAAUUUUAAUGGUUUUGAUUAUAUUUUGCUUAUAUUAUGCAACAAAUAAGAAGAAGUGAAGCUUGGGUUUAUUCAUUUUACACAUGCUUUAUUAGGACAGAGUGUGUAGUUGAACAUAAAUGAGUUUGUCUAGUAUUCAAUUAUUGUACUCUUUUUUUUUUGGGUCAUCAUUCAAUUAUUGUACCUGAUAGUAGCCGACUGCUUAGAUCUUGAGUCUUGAUUAUAUUAUUGUCGUAUCAAUCAAUACAUAUAAUUGCAGCUCAAUAUUCGUCAUUGCGUGUCUAUCUCAUCGUCCUUUUGUUGGGUCUUAUUAUGCUUGUUUUCAUUUAAGUACAAAUUAUUAAUGGUUUUGAAGUAUGUAUAUGCCUUCGUAGUAAAAUUUUAAUGUUGUGAUUUUGGAUGUGAGAAAAAUUGAUAUAUGUCAAGUAAGUUAAUAGUACUUCAUUCAGAGUAAAGCUUAUUUUAAUUAAUUAAUUACACUACAGGUUCUCCUUGUCUUCCUCCUUCAUAAGAUGGGUGUGUUUUCAUUCUCCAGCGGUGUGCAAUGCUCCAGAAAAAAAAAAAAUCUUAAGUGGCUAUACACGUAUGUUUUUAAGUAAUUACAUUUCUUAAACAUGAUUAAGUGAUUAAUUGGUUGACUUUAAUCCUAAUAAGUUGAAUCACUAAUAUUCUAUAUAUUCUUGUUAUUACAGCACAAGUUAUACACUAGAAGCAAAAAGUUCACGUCUAUCUAUCGAAGACGACGAAGCGUUCUUGGCACCCGAGAUAAAUGCCUUCGGGGAUCAGUUCAGGUUUCUUUUUUCUUCCAUCUAUAUACAUUGAAUUAAAAAAGAUAUUUUGAAUAUAUAAAGAAAAAUUGGAGUUUUUUUCUUUUGGUCGUCGGAUCUAAAAUCUUGACUUGAUCCGUAACGAUUACAUUGGUAUUUGGUCGCAGGGACUACGAUGCCGAGAAUGAGAGGCAGAAAGGCGUGGAAGCCUUUUAGAAAUCUCAACACAUUAACCAAACUGUCGACUUUGUAAGAUUCUUAAAAACUAAUAAGGGUUUAUAUAUAUUUAAUUAUUUAUACAACAUCUAUAUAGAUCUAUGGGAUCCACGUAGAAUAUAUAUGUGUAAUAUCUAUAUAAAUUAAACAAUAUAAUUUUUCAGGUGAUAGAGACGAGGGCAGAAUUUGGUAAAUUGGAUAAAGAAGUGAUGAGCAUUUGGGAAUGUUGUGAGCUUCUUAAUGAGGUGGUGGACGAGAGUGAUCCAGAUCUCGACGAGCCUCAAAUUCAACAUUUGCUUCAAUCUGCCGAAGCCAUCAGCAAGGAUUACCUUAGCGAAGCUUGGCUUCAUCUAACCGCUCUCAUUCAUGGUAAUUUGUUAUUACAAAUAGUCUAAUAUAGUGUGCCUUUUUUAUAAUCAGAACUAUAUAUGAGUAUCUGAGUUAGUUUUUUUUUUUUUUUUUUUUUUUGGAGCAACAUCUGAGCUAGUUCAUGGUUAGAUUUGUUUAGAUU